AUCGCUUCUCGGCCUUUUGCUAAGAUCAAGUGUAGUAUCUGUUCUUAUCAGUUUAAUUAUCUGAUACGUCCCCUAUCUGGGGACCAUAUAUUAAAUGGAUUUUUGGAACAGGGAGAUGGAAGAAGAGCUUGCUCUGUCCACUCCACGCAUCGACCUGGUAUUGCAGUACCUCCAGGACCGGUGCACCUCUC
Molecule: small nuclear RNA, 191 nt
Filed under: Xenopus tropicalis (tropical clawed frog)
Lineage: Eukaryota; Metazoa; Chordata; Amphibia; Anura; Pipidae
Description: U2 spliceosomal RNA (ENSXETG00000049158.1)
Rfam family: U2 spliceosomal RNA
About the family: U2 is a small nuclear RNA (snRNA) component of the spliceosome (involved in pre-mRNA splicing).
Source: Rfam by way of RNAcentral